UUGCGGAUGGAGACCUACCUGUGCCGCUGGGGCCUCUGAUGAUGAGAACAAGUCAGGGCAGUAGCACCAGUUGCUCUACCACCUCCUGUACCACCUCCUGUGGUGGAAAGGGCCGCACAGGCAGCUGCAGCCUUUGGCCCAGCGGCAGCUCCUGCGGCUGCUGAAGCACCCGCUGCAGCAGGCUCCCUUGAUGAACUUCACCGAUGUAGGAGUUCAACUGCAAAAGAAAGCAUGGAACAACGCCAUGGAUCCGAAGAUUGGGGCAAGUGUGGCCAUUAAGAACCUGGCCACGUCCUUGUGGGGCUCGAACGUGCUCCUCACGAGGACCGUGACGGGAGUUCUGUCGAAUGCCAAUAAGGCCAAAGAAUCCAGGCCACCUUUGACACCCCAGAAGGUGGCAUUCUUAAGAGAGUGCCUCAUCAAAAACCUUUACGGA
Ixodes scapularis (black-legged tick) is the source of this 436-nucleotide long non-coding RNA. RefSeq lists it as uncharacterized. The record is from RefSeq and is a predicted model, not a curated record. Lineage: Eukaryota; Metazoa; Arthropoda; Arachnida; Ixodida; Ixodidae. The transcript is spliced from 4 exons.